CACACAAGGAGAUUCAGCACUGUUAAGAAGAGAAAUCCAAGUUGACUUGGCAUGAAGCAGGAGGCUGAUUGAGAGCUUUGAAACCUCUUUAAACUUGGACAUUUCAAGAAUCCUGGAAGAGCACUAUUGUGAAAAAAACUAGGAGACCUGCCAGGAAUGAGUGUUUGGUUUCUGCUCUGGAGGUGCUUGAGAAGGGCAAUAGAUCUUAUCUCCAAGUCUUAUUUUCUAAAGAGGUUCCAAGCCAUCGAUACGCAUGAUCUUCAGCAUCCCAGCAGCCAUUUCCUGCUGACCGCUGAGCAGGAAGAGCACAUGACCCUGGCUGGAGCCGCCAAGAGGGUGGAGAUGAUCAGAAAUCCUUUCACUGUCAAAUUCAGAGAAGAAACAUGCUGAGAAGAGGCACUUCCUAUGCCAGGCCUACCUGUGCCGUGAGGAAUACAUGUAGGAGACACUAUUUGAAAAGGUCGCCACCUUGCUGGAACAACCAAUGCAGAGAUAAUGCUGGGCCCUCUAAUCAGUUGAACAGUGGCUUCAAAAAGAUAGGUCAAAGUUAUAAUCUCCUGCAGCUGUGCAUGUGACUUUCUUUGGAAAUAGGAUCUUGCAGGUAUGAUGAAGGUAAGGAUUUUAAGAUGAGAUCAUCAUAAAUUUAGAGUGGGUCCUACACCUGAUGACUCGUGUGCUUCUAAGGGAAGCAAAAGGGAGUUAUAACACAGGGACACCUGGAAGGCCAUGUGAAGGCAAAGGCUAACAUUGGAUUUAUGUUGCCACAAGCCAAGGAAUGACAGGGGUGCUGGCAACUGCAAGAACUGAGAAGACAGGCAUGGAACGAAUUCUUCCUCAGAACCUCCAGAAGGAACUCACCCUGCUGACACUUUGAUUUCAGACUCUGGCCUCCAGAACUGUGAAAGAACAAGUGUCUCUUGUUUUAAGCCACCCAGUUUGUGGUAAUUUGUCACAACAAUCCAAGGAAACUAAUAGAAACCCCACACAUUGGGUAUGAGCAUAGAAGUAAAUUGGAAAUGACUUACAUUGCCUUGA
This 1035-nucleotide long non-coding RNA is filed under the name Homo sapiens (human). RNAcentral describes it as "HSALNT0342528". Lineage: Eukaryota; Metazoa; Chordata; Mammalia; Primates; Hominidae. The record is from RNAcentral.